CCACGCUGUAAACGAUGGAUGCUAGGUGUUGGGCAGUUAUGUUCAGUGCCGCAGCAAACGCGAUAAGCAUCCCGCCUGGGGAGUACGUUUGCAAGAAUGAAACUCAAAGGAAUUGACGGGGGCCCGCACAAGCGGUGGAGCACGUGGUUUAAUUCGAUGCUAACCGAAGAACCUUACCUGGGUUUGACAUCCACAGAAUACUAUAGAGAUAUGGUAGUGCCUGGUUUACCAGGAACUGUGAGACAGGUGCUGCAUGGCUGU
This 261-nucleotide ribosomal RNA is filed under the name uncultured bacterium. RNAcentral's name for it is "partial 16S ribosomal RNA". It matches the Rfam family "Bacterial small subunit ribosomal RNA", at positions 795 to 1052 of the family's 1533-position model. The record is from RNAcentral.